RNAcentral lists this ribosomal RNA (428 nucleotides) under uncultured bacterium. RNAcentral's name for it is "partial 16S ribosomal RNA". It matches the Rfam family "Bacterial small subunit ribosomal RNA", at positions 354 to 796 of the family's 1533-position model. The record is from RNAcentral.
UUAGGGAAUAUUGGACAAUGGGGGCAACCCUGAUCCAGCGACGCCGCGUGAGUGAUGAAGGCCUUCGGGUCGUAAAGCUCUGUUGCAGGGGAAGAACACAAUGACGGUACCCUGCUAGAAAGGAUCGGCUAACUUCGUGCCAGCAGCCGCGGUAAGACGAGGGAUCCUAGCGUUGUUCGGAAUUAUUGGGCGUAAAGCGGGUGCAGGUGGCUUGGUAAGUCAGAUGUGAAAGCCUGGGGCUUAACCCCAGAAGUGCAUUUGAUACUGCUGAGCUUGAGUGCUGGAGAGGCUAUUAGAAUUCCUGGUGUAGUGGUGAAAUACGUAGAUAUCAGGAGGAAUACCGGAGGCGAAGGCGGAUAGCUGGCCAGACACUGACACUCAGACCCGAAAGCGUGGGGAUCAAACAGGAUUAGAAACCCGGGUAGUCC